AUGGCGGCACCUCUCCUGCUCCUCGUCGCGCUGCUGGCCGCCUCCGCACCCCGCCGCGCCGACGGCUGGGGCAAGGAGGGCCACAUCAUGGUCUGCAAGAUCGCCGAGAAGUACCUGUCGGAGGAGGCGGCGGCGGCGGUGCAGGAGCUGCUGCCGGAGUCGGCCGGCGGAGAGCUGUCGACGAUGUGCCCGUGGGCGGACACCAUGCGCUUCCGGUACCACUGGGCCAGCCCGCUCCACUACGCCAACACGCCCAACGUCUGCAACUUCAAGUCCUCACGGGACUGCCACAACUCUCGCGGGCAACAGGGGAUGUGCGUCGUCGGGGCCAUCAACAACUACACGGACCAGCUCUACACCUACGGGGAUUCUCCCAAGAGUUCAUACAACCUGACGGAGAGCCUGAUGUUCCUGGCGCACUUCGUGGGCGACGUGCACCAGCCGCUGCACGUCGGCUACGAGGAGGACGAGGGCGGCAACACCAUCAUGGUGCGCUGGUACCGCAGGAAGGCCAACCUCCACCACGUGUGGGACGUUAGCAUCAUCGACACGGUGAUGAAGGACUUCUACAACAAGAGCCUGGACACCAUGGUGGGCGCCCUCCAGACGAACCUCACGGAAGGAUGGUCCGACGAUGUCGGCCACUGGGAGAACUGCGCCAACAAAAGGGCGACCUGCGCAAGUUGCAGCUACGCGAUCGAGAGCAUACACUUGUCCUGCAACUACGCCUACAAGGAUGUGGUGCAGAACAUUACCCUCGGAGAUGAUUAUUACUUCACCCGCUACCCGGUCGUGGAGAAGAGACUAGCACAGGCCGGCGUCAGACUCGCGCUGAUACUCAACCGUAUAUUUGACAAGAAGAAAGCAGAUACCAUGCCGUUAUACGUACAGUAA
Molecule: ribosomal RNA, 894 nt
Filed under: Triticum aestivum (bread wheat)
Lineage: Eukaryota; Viridiplantae; Streptophyta; Magnoliopsida; Poales; Poaceae
Description: partial small subunit ribosomal RNA
Source: RNAcentral